RNAcentral lists this ribosomal RNA (162 nucleotides) under Triticum aestivum (bread wheat). RNAcentral describes it as "partial small subunit ribosomal RNA". The record is from RNAcentral. Lineage: Eukaryota; Viridiplantae; Streptophyta; Magnoliopsida; Poales; Poaceae.
ACUAUACGGUUGUGUCUGUCGGACCAGGUUAUUUAUCAUGUGAUGGAUGAGAAUUCGCCGAGGAAGAUUUGGGAGAAGCUGGAAAGUCAGUUUAUGUCCAAGACUGCGACGACCAAGGUCUAUCUGAAGCAAAACUUGUAUGGAAUGAGGAUGCAGGAGGGG